AUUGAACGCUGGCGGCAUGCCUUACACAUGCAAGUCGAACGGUAACAGGUCUUCGGAUGCUGACGAGUGGCGAACGGGUGAGUAAUACAUCGGAACGUGCCUAGUAGUGGGGGAUAACUACUCGAAAGAGUGGCUAAUACCGCAUGAGAUCUACGGAUGAAAGCAGGGGAUCGCAAGACCUUGUGCUACUAGAGCGGCCGAUGGCAGAUUAGGUAGUUGGUGGGAUAAAAGCUUACCAAGCCGACGAUCUGUAGCUGGUCUGAGAGGACGAUCAGCCACACUGGGGCUGGGACACGGCCCAGACGCCUACGGGAGGCAGCAGUGGGGAAUUUUGGACAAUGGGCGAAAGCCUGAUCCAGCAAUGCCGCGUGCAGGAUGAAGGCCUUCGGGUUGUAAACUGCUUUUGUACGGAACGAAAAGCCCCGGGUUAAUACCCUGGGGUCAUGACGGUACCGUAAGAAUAAGCACCGGCUAACUACGUGCCAGCCGCCGCCGUAA
RNAcentral lists this ribosomal RNA (498 nucleotides) under uncultured bacterium. RNAcentral describes it as "partial 16S ribosomal RNA". It matches the Rfam family "Bacterial small subunit ribosomal RNA", at positions 30 to 523 of the family's 1533-position model. The record is from RNAcentral.